RNAcentral lists this ribosomal RNA (253 nucleotides) under uncultured bacterium. RNAcentral describes it as "partial 16S ribosomal RNA". It matches the Rfam family "Bacterial small subunit ribosomal RNA", at positions 524 to 776 of the family's 1533-position model. The record is from RNAcentral.
AACGUAGGAGACAAGCGUUAUCCGGAGUUACUGGGCGUAAAGGGCGUGUAGGCGGUCUGUUAAGUCUGGCGUGAAAGCUCUCGGCUAAACCGGGAGAGGUCGUUGGAUACUGGCAGACUAGAGGAUGGUAGAGGCGUGUGGAAUUCCGGGUGGAGUGGUGAAAUGCGUAGAGAUCCGGAGGAACACCAGUGGCGAAGGCGACACGCUGGGCCAUACCUGACGCUAAAGCGCGAAAGCAUGGGGAGCAAACGGG